GGGGCCAUAACUCAGUGGUUAGAGUCACCGGCUCAUAACCGGCAGGUCCCAGGUUCGAAUCCUGGUGGCCCCACCA
RNAcentral lists this transfer RNA (76 nucleotides) under Candidatus Poribacteria bacterium. RNAcentral describes it as "tRNA-Met". It matches the Rfam family "tRNA". Rfam says of the family: Transfer RNA (tRNA) molecules are approximately 80 nucleotides in length. Lineage: Bacteria; Candidatus Poribacteria. The record is from RNAcentral.